Molecule: ribosomal RNA, 522 nt
Filed under: uncultured bacterium
Lineage: Bacteria
Description: bacterial SSU rRNA
Rfam family: Bacterial small subunit ribosomal RNA
Source: RNAcentral
AACGAACGCUGGCGGCGUACUUAACACAUGCAAGUCGGACGAGAAAGGAGACCUCGGUCUCUGAGUAUAGUGGCGCACGGGUGCGUAACACGUAAGUAAUCUGCCCCGAACUCCGGGAUAACCCUCCGAAAGGAGGGCUAAUACUGGAUAGGGUCCCCGGGGUAUAGGCUGCGGGGGGAAAGUGGGCCUCUGAUAUAUGCUCACGGUUCGGGAUGAGCUUGCGGCCCAUUAGCUUGUUGGUAGGGUAAUAGCCUACCAAGGCAACGAUGGGUAGCUGGUCUGAGAGGAUGAUCAGCCACACUGGCACUGAGACACGGGCCAGACUCCUACGGGAGGCAGCAGUGGGGAAUUUUGCGCAAUGGGCGAAAGCCUGACGCAGUAACGCCGCGUGGAGGAUGAAGGCCUUCGGGUUGUAAACUCCUGUCAGGGGGAACGACGAGGAAGGGAUGACAAAUCCCUUUUUUCAGACGGUACCUCCAAAGGAAGCCCCGGCUAAUUCCGUGCCAGCCGCCGCCGUAAUAC